Long non-coding RNA from Dreissena polymorpha, 740 nucleotides. RefSeq lists it as uncharacterized. NCBI's taxonomy places the organism in Eukaryota, Metazoa, Mollusca, Bivalvia, Myida, Dreissenidae. The transcript has 4 exons. The record is from RefSeq and is a predicted model, not a curated record.
GUGAAGGCAGGUGAUAUUUGUCGAUAAAUGAUAUGCAUCUGCUGCUGAAAUUUUGUCUGGGAUGUUCUUUUGUAGUGGGAUGUUGUGCUGUACCAGCAGAUCCUGGGGGGGAUCCAGAUUGCUUGUCGGUUGUUUGCAUCGCGACUAAUUGUAUCAACCCAUAUACGCCGCCCAACCAGUGCUGUCCUAUUUGCAGAUCAAAGCCAGUUUCAGGAUGCAUCGUCAAUGGCGUGCAGUACAGUGAAGGUGCCACUGUGAACGAGUUGGCACUGGCAGGUCCGUGUCAAGUAUGCACGUGUCUCAACAGAGCUGUGCAGUGCAAUAUAAUGUCGUGCGCGGCCUGCGAUGGAGAAAUUCCGCCCGGUCAGUGCUGUCCAUCUUGUAAUGGUGGACCUAUUUUCGGACCGUGAAGAACGCCGAUUGAAAAAAAUGCGUGUGUUUGAACUGUCUUACAUAUAACAACCGAGACACAAGAAAACACGACUAUGCUUACUGUUUUUUUAUCAAUAAACUGAUGAAAUUAUAUCUUAUGUAUUUUACGUAGGUUAAUGUAGUGUUAACGGAAACGUUUGUUUACAAGUGAAAUUCACGCAGUUUGCAUGUCCUAUUGUUCGUAGACAUUUCAAAAUUAAUUUUCGAAAAUAGUAAUGCACAACAUGGUAAAACCUACACUUCCUUAUGGUUUUAAAAUCACGUGUAACAUUGUUAUAAUUGAAAAUAAUACUGACGCUGUACAUCAA